GGGCUUUCUUUAGUUGUGGCCUGCUCCAGUGACACACACACAAACACAGUCAUACAGAGAGAGAGAGAGAGAGAGAAUGUGUGUAUGUGUGUGUUUGUGAGGGAGGGAGAGUGAGCUUGUGAAAAGUGGGGAAUGAGAGUAGGUAGGUCCAUAUAUGUGUUGGUAGAUAAUAUUACAUUCCCUCCUUGCUUCCAUCCCCCUUCCCCACUUUGGGGUUUAGGGGGUUUCUCAGUCACUUCAGUGGGCAAAAGGCAGCAGCAUCUCUCCUGCCCAAUUCAUUUAUUUAUCUAUCUAUGUUUGUAUCUAUUCUAUGUAUGUAUGUCUAUGUCUCUAUCUAUCUAUGUAUAUCCUCAUCCUCCUUCCUUGUCCUCCCUCUCACCCUCCUCUACAACAUGCUACCAUGUGGGACAAACUCCUGUGGAAUCAUUCUGUCCCAUUCCCUGUCUCUCUGUGAUUGUACUCUUUGUCAUAGCCCCCCCCCCCUCUGCCCUACUUGUCCAGAGCUGUCCCCUGCCUGUGGUGCAGUUUCCUUCCCUUCCCCACUUCUUUUGUCCAGAACACUACAAGUUAGCAUGAAACCCACUGGAAAAAUAGGGCAGGGCAAGGGCAAGAGUGGGGUGGGGAGAGAUUAACAACCAAUAGUAUUGUCAAUACAAUGGGGGGAUAUGGAUAUGCAGUGUUAGGGGGGAUGGGAGAACAAUUGUGGCUCUCAAUCAAGCAUGGCUUCAGCUACAACCCAAGCCCAAAUUAGCAAAGCAUCAAUGACAGGAUCAUGAAAAGGAAGGAAGCAAGCUCUGUCUUUCUCUCCUUCUCUGACUCCUGGUGGUGUGAUGAGACAGCACCACCUUGUGAUGUAAACUUGUGGCUCCUCAUGAUAUUUAUUUUCUUCAUUUGUGUGCUGCACCAUUCUGACACCUGAUUCAGUACAUGUUCACAUCCAUAUUACUAUUUAUGGAUUCUAGUGUGGCCCUCCAAUAUUAACCCACUAAAUUGCCACUGCUUGGGCUCCAACCUCAUCACUUGUAAAAAGGAGAAGAAGAAGAAGACAGGUGGCUGGCCUGGGCAGGAUUGGUGUCCCAUGUCAUCCAUGUACCUUAGUGGAACAAAUCAUGAGACCAUGUUUCUUUGCCCACCUCAAACUACACAAAGAUCUAAUACUUUUAAACUUAAGAAAUUACGAUUGGGUAGUGAAAAAAUAAUAAUCUGUUUUUAGUUAGUAAAGUUAAUUCAAACAGUGCUAAUGAGAUAUAUCAAACAAGGUAGAAAGGGUUAUAUCUAUAUCUAUAUAUAUAUAUAUAUACUAAAAACAAGGACGUGUGCUAUCUGUUAAUGCUUUGAAAGAUAAUAAAUAUUGUCAUGGGAUGAAAAAAAUAAAAUAAAAUAAAAUAAAAUCUUCUCUGGA
Molecule: non-coding RNA, 1402 nt
Organism: Physcomitrium patens
Lineage: Eukaryota; Viridiplantae; Streptophyta; Bryopsida; Funariales; Funariaceae
Source: RefSeq, a predicted model, not a curated record